Gallus gallus (chicken) is the source of this 537-nucleotide long non-coding RNA. RefSeq lists it as uncharacterized. NCBI's taxonomy places the organism in Eukaryota, Metazoa, Chordata, Aves, Galliformes, Phasianidae. The record is from RefSeq and is a predicted model, not a curated record. The transcript has 4 exons.
UUCACUGAUGAGCAAGAGGGGCUGUGUGGCUGCUGCAGCAAGAUGAACUCUGACCAGGAAGGGCCUGAUGAGCCGAAGUUUAAAUGAUGAGCCAAAAUUCCUCCCUAUGAUCUCCUGUUCUGCUCUGCUUUGGUCUCACGCUGAGGUGUCAGAACAGCAGAGGCACAAGGCUGCUGACCACUCUGGAAGCCGUAAUUCAUCCUUCUCAGCCAGGCAGCAUUCCUGUCCCAUUCAUCUAUGACUUCCCAACGCAUGCUUCUACAGCAUUAUCCCAUUCCAGCUGUCCAAGCUGGAAAGAAAAAAAACUGGAAGAGUGAAGGAAAGGCUGAUGAACUGCAGCUUCUUACAAAAUUGGCCACCUGGUGGUUUAUCAGAAUUCAGUCCCCCACCAGCAGAGCAUGUGUGUGGUUUGGAUAUAAGAAUGAAACAAUUCACAUGGUGGAGCCCAAGCUCAGAGAGCCAGAAGAUGCAGCAGAGCCCUUACAGCCUGGCUAUGUGGGACCUCUCUCUGGGACAGGGAGACCCUAGAUGAGCACC